This 200-nucleotide long non-coding RNA is filed under the name Elaeis guineensis (African oil palm). RNAcentral describes it as "long non-coding RNA (EGUI_LNC079999)". The record is from RNAcentral. Lineage: Eukaryota; Viridiplantae; Streptophyta; Magnoliopsida; Arecales; Arecaceae.
UAAUCAAAUUUGACUCAGGUUUAGCUAUUGGUGUCGGUCCUUCUUCCUGUUGAACUUCAUUAAGUUCAACCUUAGAGGCAACUUGAAAUCUCAUAUGGAGUCUUAAUUACAGACUUACUUGAAACUCUAUUUAACAGAUAACAGGCCAAUUCGAGUGCAUAUCUCCAGAAGGAUAUUGGCAAGCUGGCAAAAUCCAUCAU